CACAAAGAUUGCUCUUCAUCACACAAUUUUUUUCUUCCCAGUUUUCAUGCGGAUUAUAGGGUCACGCUCUUCAUCACUCAAAUCUCUUCUUCCCAGUUAUUCUGGUAAUUUGAAUUUGUUAGAGGGCAUGAAAGAGUGGUUUGUGAUAGAGGGGGAAGAAGAAGAAGAUGUUGACCAAGUUCGAGACCAAGAGUAACCGAGUGAAGGGGCUUAGUUUCCACAGCAAGAGGCCCUGGAUCCUUGCGAGUCUUCAUAGUGGUGUGAUUCAACUAUGGGAUUACCGCAUGGGAACCCUCAUCGACAGGUUCGACGAGCAUGAUGGCCCCGUUAGAGCCUUAGAGGUGUUCACUUCCACAAUUCUCAGCCUCUCUGUCUCUGGAGAUGCGGAACCUAGCGGCGGAGAAACAACGGCUCAUGCCAAAAACGACGCUAGUUGAGAAGAUCCCGGAAAAGAUCAUUGGCGGUCUGGCAGGUACCGCUAAACCUUCCUGGAUAUCGGCCGUGUAGUCCGAACCGCCUCGAAUUUGGUGUAUAUAUCUUCAUACUAACCCUCCUGAUUUCACUUAACCUCUUGGCGCGAACGAAAGCACGAGCAGAGGCGCGAAGAGCACCCAACCUCCCUCUGGCGCAACCUACCCGCGAGUACACCCAGAAACUUCUGCCAGAAACCCGUCACUUCAUUUUGGUAGCAAGCCAAACACGAGCGGGAGCAGAGCCGCGUACCAUCUGCUCCACUCGGCGCUUCCGUCUUCGCCGUCGAAUCGCGCAGCGGCCAACCGUGGUUCCAUCACCAGCGACGAAGUUGAGCAUCUCACUGGCGGUGCGUGAAAUCCCAACACCGUCCUCUCCAGUGCGCGAAUCCUAGCUAUCGCUACCUCCCACUUUCACCGGUUUGUUCUUCCACAUUGAGCUUUUCUUGUGGUUUUCAUUAUUGGUUCAGAGUUCUAAACAUGGAUUUGGGUAUAUCUUCUAUAAAUUGUGGCUAAUUGAAGCGAUUUCGAGUUAGGGAUUUGAUUCAGUACGAUUAAUUAGCAGAUUGCAAGUUUAUCUUCCAAAAGAUAACAAAUAUUAUAGUAUAAUACCUCUGUCCAUCAUCAUCAACGAUGAAUUCCUCUGUUAUUCCCUUGUAUUAUUAUUUAUGUGAAAGUUGAAAUUGGUACUUAAUUAGUUUUUGCAGUUAGAUACCUUGGCUCGUUUAUAUACUAAUUAUUCUUAGAGAACUUGAUUUACAUAAGAUAGGAUUUUGGGCAAUUUUCCAAGUAUGAAAAUUGAUGGAGAUAUUA
This is a non-coding RNA of Arachis ipaensis, 1283 nucleotides long. The record is from RefSeq and is a predicted model, not a curated record. NCBI's taxonomy places the organism in Eukaryota, Viridiplantae, Streptophyta, Magnoliopsida, Fabales, Fabaceae.